This 502-nucleotide ribosomal RNA is filed under the name uncultured bacterium. RNAcentral describes it as "partial 16S ribosomal RNA". It matches the Rfam family "Bacterial small subunit ribosomal RNA", at positions 30 to 523 of the family's 1533-position model. The record is from RNAcentral.
AUUGAACGCUGGCGGCGUGCCUAACACAUGCAAGUCGAGCGGUAACAGGUGUAGCAAUACAUGCUGACGAGCGGCGAACGGGUGAGUAAUGCUUCGGAAUCUACCUUAUGGUGGGGAAUAACUAGCCGAAAGGUUAGCUAAUACCGCAUACGUCCUACGGGAGAAAGCAGGGGAUCGCAAGACCUUGCGCCAACAGAUGAGCCGAAGUUGGAUUAGCUAGUUGGUAGGGUAACGGCCUACCAAGGCGACGAUCCGUAGCUGGUCUGAGAGGACAGGCGGCAAUAGUGGGACUGGGACAGGGCGCGGACUCCGACGGGAGGCAGCAGUGGGGAGUAUUGGAAAAUGGCGGAAACCCUGAUUCAGCGACGCCGAGUGUGUGAAGAAGGCGUGCGGGUUGUAAAGCACUUUUAGUGGGGAUGAAAUGUGCAGGGUUAAUACCUCUGCAUUUUGGCCUAACCCACAGAAAAAGCACCGGCUAACUCUGUGCCAGCAGCCGCCGUAA